RNAcentral lists this ribosomal RNA (683 nucleotides) under uncultured Bacteroidota bacterium. Its description in RNAcentral is "bacterial SSU rRNA". It matches the Rfam family "Bacterial small subunit ribosomal RNA", at positions 8 to 682 of the family's 1533-position model. The record is from RNAcentral. Lineage: Bacteria; Pseudomonadati; Bacteroidota.
AGAGUUUGAUCCUGGCUCAGGAUGAACGCUAGCGGCAGGCUUAAUACAUGCAAGUCGAGGGGCAGCAGGGGUAGCAAUACCCGCUGGCGACCGGCAAACGGGUGCGGAACACGUACGCAACCUUCCUUUAACUGGAGAAUAGCCCCUCGAAAGAGGGAUUAAUACUCCGUAACAUAUUGAUAAGGCAUCUUAUUAAUAUUAUAGUCUUCGGGCGGUUAAAGAUGGGCGUGCGCCUGAUUAGAUAGUUGGUGAGGUAACGGCUCACCAAGUCUGCGAUCAGUAACUGGUGUGAGAGCACGACCAGUCACACGGGCACUGAGACACGGGCCCGACUCCUACGGGAGGCAGCAGUAAGGAAUAUUGGUCAAUGGACGCAAGUCUGAACCAGCCAUGCCGCGUGGAGGAUUAAGGCCCUCUGGGUUGUAAACUCCUUUUAUCUGGGAAGAAAUGCCAUUUUUCUAAAUGGUUUGACGGUACCAGAGGAAUAAGCACCGGCUAACUCCGUGCCAGCAGCCGCGGUAAUACGGAGGGUGCAAGCGUUAUCCGGAUUCACUGGGUUUAAAGGGUGCGUAGGCGGGCAGGUAAGUCCGUGGUGAAAUCUCUGAGCUUAACUCAGAAACUGCCAUGGAAUACUAUUUGUCUUGAAUACUGGGAGGUAAAGCGGGAAUAUGUCAUGUACGGGA